Scophthalmus maximus (turbot) is the source of this 569-nucleotide long non-coding RNA. RefSeq lists it as uncharacterized. The transcript has 2 exons. The record is from RefSeq and is a predicted model, not a curated record. NCBI's taxonomy places the organism in Eukaryota, Metazoa, Chordata, Actinopteri, Pleuronectiformes, Scophthalmidae.
CAGACGCACCGUUGCUACUAGAUACAGCAGCAGCUUCAGAAGCUAACGAUGCUAACGGAGGAUCGUCGUGUCGUGUUCUGACGUCUGAACGGUUCAACAGUGACGUCACAGGCGCCUGGAACUUAAGCAGAUCUUCAACCAACAGACGCGACAGGAGGGUUCGACAUGAACUCGCCUGACCUGCGCCCGGAGGCAUUGUGGGAAAUGGUCAGUGGAGACGUCAUGUGACCUUUGACCCUUCAUGAGAGCUGAUCACAAAUGUUUCGCACGUCAGGAAAUAAAGAGCUAAUUGGCUUUAACACGUGUGGGAGGAGCUUCAUCAGGAUUUUAGACUUAAUGAAAAACUUUGAUGAUUCUGAAUAAACAAGAAAAAACGUAUAUAUAUAUUCAUGUGUAUAUGUUGGUGUACAUGUGUAUGUAAAUAUACAUGUGUAUGUUUGUGUACAUGUGUAUAUAUAUACACGUGUGUGUGUAUGAAUGAGAGUCCAGUCGAGUCAGUUUAUGUUUUUAUUUAUGAAAAACAAAUGAACUCAGAAAAUAAGAUCAUAUCAGUAAAUUACAUCAAAUGA